CUGUUUUGGGAAAAAAAAGUUAAGUGAACUAGAUGCCUGUUAAUCUGGUUCUUUAAAUAUCAUAAACAAAAGUAUCAGAAUGUGUUUCCAAGGACAAAGGCGGAGUUUUCCCGGCUUUGAUUGGUCACUGCCUUGUCCUGUCCCACAGCCAUCCUUAAUUGGCUUUGGGUAGAUUGGAAUCACAUAAGCAGAGUGACAUUUAUUACUUUCCUAGUUUCUUUGCACUGAGCCCUGAGAUUUCCAAGGAGUCACUGUAAAAGAUUUCUUUCAUUUCACCCAUGAUCUAUGAGAGGGGUUCCUUCUACGAAGAGCAGGCAUGAGUCUGAGUGCGAGAAGAGUCACUCUGCCUACAAUAACGCCAAUAGUCCUACAGAAAAGGAAAGCCUUCAAGAUCAGAAGGCCAGAUGUCC
This 410-nucleotide long non-coding RNA is filed under the name Mustela putorius furo (domestic ferret). Its description in RNAcentral is "lncRNA (ENSMPUG00000024425.1)". Lineage: Eukaryota; Metazoa; Chordata; Mammalia; Carnivora; Mustelidae. The record is from RNAcentral.